Molecule: long non-coding RNA, 6249 nt
Organism: Acanthochromis polyacanthus (spiny chromis)
Lineage: Eukaryota; Metazoa; Chordata; Actinopteri; Pomacentridae
Exons: 2
Source: RefSeq, a predicted model, not a curated record
UCUGGUUGGGACUCUGAACUCUACCCAGUGUAACCCCGGCUCCUACUGUCAACCAGCUGUAGGGUGGAUCGGUAACACGGCAUCCAUUCACAUUAUGCUGUGGACACACCUCACCUACUGCUGAGGUCUCACUUUCAGUUUUUCACACGCUGCCAUUUGUCACCAUACGUCGUAACGCAGACACAACAUUCAACUGACUAAAACGUUACGGCUAACGUGAUGCGUCCCGGUAUGUAAUGAACUCCUCGUUAUAAAAACAGAAACAGAAUUUGUCUCAGUUUAUGAAACUGGAUGAAAAGCAAGCAGACCGAAGGGUUCAACUCACCUUGUAAGAGUCCGUCGCAAGUUAACCAGGCAGCAAACACGAGUUGGGUGAAGAAGCCGACGUUAGGCUGGCUGAGGACACGCCAGAGGACGACAGAAAAAACGACUCUUCACCGUCGAUACCUUCAGAAUGUAGCCCUGAGUUGGUGCUGCGGGCCCAGGCUCCGCUGCUGCAGCGGUCAUUCGGUGGUCUGGCUCCGGUGGGGGUUGUUGGAAAGGGGCGGGUUUCGGCACGCAUGGCCUCGUGCACGUACUCUCAGCGCCCCUCUGACAUGCUACGUCAUGCUGCGUUCUAUGACACAUGGGAUUUUUUGUAACGAAGUUAGAGUAGCACUUUGUUAAGCUAGCUAUGUGUCUAAUUUCUUGUUCCACUUUGUCCUGCAGCUUAGUAAAUGUUUCUGAUGCAUUGAAAUGCUGAAUGUGGUGAAUAACACACUUAUCUACGGACAAGAAUAGUCCAUUGUUGCUUUGUAACUUACUGUGGUAACGGGGAGACAUGAAGGCAACACGAUGUGAUGAAGAGUCACAAGCUGCCCCCAUUGGCCUGAGAGAGCAACAUGGAUGUUUGAAGAACUGGACACAGGAUUACAACAAGGCCUUUUAUUCUAACGAAUGAAUCUGUAAAUACAGAGACAGCAGAAGUUUCCAUGCUUCCUCAUCGAAGUACCCGCUGGAAAUUGAAAAUUGCAAUGCAAGAGCACAAGACUGUAAACACGCUGUGUUGUUUAGGGUUGGUAAGAGAAGUAAAUAUACUCUUUAUUCCCACAUUUUCUUUUUGUUCGGUGCUGCAAAGAAAAAAUGCCGUUUGUUACAAACUGCGACAUUUCGUAACAUAAUUUGCAUGGUCCUGUCAUUGUAAGGUGCUCAAGGAGGCAUUAUCUGACAUUAUCUGUCAUCAGUCUUUCCAACUGACUGACUGACUGAGGGGGCGCUGUGCUGCUGUUAGCUGGGUGAUUCUCGGAAUCCGGUGCCCUUUAGGUCCCCCAGACUUACUUCAAAGAUUUUCAAUCAAAGGAAACCACAAAAAAAGACAUUUUAAGCCACUAAUGAAAUGAUGUGUUUUUGUACUAUGAUGCAAAACAAAAAUGAUUUUUUCAUGUUAUUAUAAAAUAAUGGGUUGUCUUAUAGACCCUUUAAUGACCCACGUCACGAAUGACGUCACAGCUUUAGCUGGAGGCAAAAGAGGAAGCCCGCGGCCGGACAGAAAGGCGAAAGACUGAGGGACUAGGCUCUAUCAACUUUUCUAAAAUGUCGUCCUGCUGUGUUUUUGGAUGCCAGAAUAGGAGGAAUGACAUUGGCGAACGCAAAUUAAAGUUUUAUGGGGAUGGCUAGUAACUACGUCAUCGUGUCCAAAAACGUCACUUCCGUGUCCUACCAAACCAACGAUAUAAUGGUUCUGUGUUGUGUCCUGUGUUGCAACAAUAGAAAUGAUGUAAAUAAAACGAUAUCUUUCUACCACUUUCCUCUGGACGAAAAGGAGAAGAGAAGAUGGCUGACACUGAUAAGGUAAGUCGGAUUUCUAAUCUUAGAAAAUACAUUUAGCGCCGGGAGCUAACGUGCGCUAGCUAGUAUUAGCCGCUUGAAUUAUGUUGUCUUUUUGUGUUAUGAGGAGUGUUUGGGCCACAUUACAAAAGAAACUAAAAGUGGUCGAGAUUAAAGUCUCUGAUAAUAAGUUUAUACUUUUAAUUUAUAAGAAUAAAGUCUGCCGAGGGAGACUUUUGUCCCAGUUUUGGGGACUUGGACUUGCUUGACCAAUCUGCCCAAAAUACUCGACUUGACUAGGAUAUGGGUCUAUGUGACUUGGAUUUAAUUGAGUCCAAUACUUGGACUGACUUGCUAAAAAUGUUUGGCUAAGAUUAUUUUAACUGUUAUGGAUUCAUGAUUAGUGUAAAGAGAUGCGUAGUUAUUUACAUAUGCAAAUUAGCCAUGUGCUCCCGGCAGAAGUUAGCGCUAGAGUGUGCUGCUGGGAAUCUUCAGAGUAUACUUUUCAAAUCUAACAUAACUCUAACAAAGCCAAGUAAACGACAUUUAACCUCACACAGAUGAUAAAGCUAGCUUUAUUUCUGACAUCCUGUGUUUGUUAGCUUACGCUACUUAGCUACUCACCUCAACACUGUACGUUUUCCUUUUCAUUGACGCCUGCACUUUCCCUUUAAAACCACCUGCCAGCACACUAACUCUUACAACUCUGUUUGAGUUGUAAGAGUUAAGACCUCGCUUUACCGACUUCGGAAAAUCCGCAAAAUAAGAUGUCACAGUGAAAAAGGUGACCGGUUCUUUCGCUACUGCCAUUGUGUUUUCAUUCGGUGCGCCGCGGCUUGGACACGGAAGUGGUCCGUGACGUCACACUAGCCAUCCCCAUAGGAUUCCACCGAACACUCGUGCUCAGAGGGAACGAAGACAGUUGUGGUUAAAUGCACUGAGGCGAAAAGACUGGACAGAGACGAUCAGCCGCAGUCAAUUCCAGCCAUUUUCAGUACAAAAAAUCGCUAAUAUUCUAUUUGUAAAUAAAAAAUAUUCAAUUCAAUUCAAUUCAGCUUUAUUCCAGACACUGGGUCCAAAUAUACACACCAUAAGAACAAGGACACAACAAGACAGAGAAAAAAAUACAAUCAAAAACAAUAACCCGUUAAAUAUGACGAGAAAUACAGGGCAUAUUGGACGCGCAUCGCGAGGUGCAUUUCCUUGAAAACGACCGACUCGUGGAUUAUAUACCGACUCCAAGACAUGUUUUGGACAAAAUAGUUUACUGGCUUGUGUUGUCUGGAUGUCCAAGGUUGGAUUAUGGCCGUUUUUUGUGGAAUAUUUUCAUCUGUGUGUAAUAAUGAACCCGGAAAUGUGAGUCGCGCUGUGUACGUUGAAGCCGUGUACAGAGAAAGGAUGGAUGGAUAUUCGUUGUUUGUCGGACAAAUGUGUUUAUAUUACCCACUGUGGUAAUCACAUCUGAAAGUGGUUUAUACCGGCGGAUUCAUGAGAAUCUAAGCUUUCCAUCGGCGUAUAGUGUUUGUAUAAUCGGGUUUGCAACCUUCGGACAUUCUUUAAAUUCCUAUGCAAAUUAGUAAGUGUACCGCUGGCGGUACACUUAAGUUUAACGGGUUAAAAAUGCUCGAGUUCGCAGCGCAAACUCCCAGCGCAAACUAAAUACUUCCAGUCCUGCUUGACUUCUCGCUCCGCUUUUGCCUCCAGCAUAAGCCCCGCCCACAAAAAAACGUCACAAUGUUUGUAAACAAAUAAAGGGUCUAUAGUACUUGACAAACAAAUUUGCAUAUCCUCACUGGCCAUCUUUACGUUUUCAUUGAAUUCGAAACAAAUAAAUAAUAAAAUGAAAACCAAAAUUUUAGUGCUCAUAUAAUAAUUGUUUGUCUACAUUAACUAAACAUAUAUUUCUUUCUGAAAAAAUAAAUAAAUUACCAAUGAAACUGCAAUAUUUAUACACGUCUCUCAGUUUGUUUUCAACCCCGUCACACUAUGCCAUUUACCCCCUAUAAAAAAAUGGAUCAUUCCAAGUGACAUCAACAUUCAGGCAGUGACAUCACACAAGUCUUUUGGAGAAGAUGCUGCAAAGAAAAGCAAGUGUCUAUGUCUUUUCUUAUCAAAAUUUCAUUGUUUUUAUUGUCAAAUUGAGAUCGUCAGUCUCAACAGUUCAACUCUGUUAUAACACGUGAUGAUAGUUAACAGGUUUUAAUGAAAAAAAUAAAAGUUGUGCUGUAAAAUAUUACAAUUUUUGAUGUCCUUAAAUGCCAUGUGGUGCUAAUAUUUUAGUUAAAUGUGGAGUUAUGGUUAAUAUUGGCCAAAAACUUCAACCCCGUCACAUUUUUCAUUGUAACAGGGUUGAAUUACUGUGACAGGGUUGAACGUCUGAUGUGACACUUCUAUAUAGAUAACUCAAUUUUAUACUUUGAUGUAAAAUAAUCAUCAUUGCUAUUUUCUGUUCCAGUAUUUUCAGACAUCACAAUGGCAAAAACAGCAGCAGAGAGGCAAAGAGAGCGCGGGGCAAGAAGGGAUGCAGACCCACAGAGAAGGGAAAAAUAUCUCAGCAGUGAGCGUGAGAGAUGGAAAAGAGACACUGAAGCAGGGAAAAAGAAAAGAAUCAAUAAUCUGAGUCAAAGAGCUGAACAAUAUAAGCGCAAGAUGUGGAGAAAUGCUAAAAAAAAAAGGCAAGGCAAAUUUAUUUAUAUAGCACAUUUCAACAUCGAGGCGAUUCAAAGUGCUUUACAAAGACAUUAAGAACAGAGGAUGACGAUUAUUAAAAGAAAAACAAAAGAAAACAUUUAUGAAAUCAUUUUUUUUAAAAAGUCAGAACAGUAAAGAGAUCAAAAACAGAAGUCAGAAAACAAGGGCUGUUAAAAAUAAAAAGACACGUAUAGUUCUGAAAUCCAAUCAGUACGCUUUGGACCAUCUCAUCAGCAGGUGACAUUCCAUACAGGAGUUUUUUUUACGUAGGUGGUAGCCAAGAACCAACCUGUUUCAACGCAAUAUCCCCAUCAAAGCACAAAUCCCAGCAGCAAUAUGGGAGCAUCUGAACCCUGUACUGGAUUAUGUGCAGGCAGCAUGCCCAGAGGUUUCAUGGAUCCGCUUUUUUAGUGAUGGUCCUUGUACCCAAUACAAGCAGAAGGGCAUUUUUUUUCUUUUUAGCACUGAGCUGGAAAAAAGAGGCAUCAAGGCAGGAACUUGGAAUUUUUUUGAGGCCGGUCAUAGGAAAGGAGCACCAGAUGGUGUUGGAACAGCCUUGAAGAGGACUGCCGACAUGCUAAUAAGCCAUGGCCGGGACAUCCAAGAUGCACAUGAGUUCUUCAAGGCUUUUUUGGAGACCAACUCAGCUAUCAAGUUGUUCUUUAUUGAUGGCAAAACUGUUGAGCAGGCACUUCAGAAGAUACCAUCAAACAGUCCCAUUCAUUUCUUUGUUGAUGGGACAUUAGUCCCAUCAACAAUGAAAAUACAUCAAGUGAUACCUCUUGCUCCAGGACAGAUAAUUUCUUGGGAUGUCAGUUGUAUGUGCUCAGCCAAGAAGCAGUUAACCUGUGUGUGUUGGAAUACACAGCAUUUCAGCUUCAUCAAGAAGGUGCCAGCUGCUGUGUCACAGAGGCAGACACAGAUCCAUUGGGAAGACCCAGAGGUGUUAGGGCAAUGGUGUGUGCUGACAUAUGACAAAGAUCUGUAUCCAGGAAUUAUUCUUGCCGUGGAUGAAACACAUGUGCAAGUUAAAUGCAUGCACAGUGUUGGACAAAACAGGUUCUUCUGGCCAAGGCAGGAGGAUGUGCUAUGGUAUCUUUUUGAUGAUGUGUUUAAGCUUAUUCCAUCCCCAAAGCCUGUGACAUCCUGUCAAAUGGAAAUUCAGAGAGAAGUGUGGGCCAGGCUCUCUGAAUAAAAGAUGUAUAAGUCAAGGGGUGUGAUGGUGUGGUGCUCUCAUGACUUUUAUUGAUCUCUGACAAUAAACUUAAUAUCUUUGGGUUUGGGACAAAAUAUGACACUUGAUGAACUUGCCUUGAAUAUUAGGAAAAAACUGAUCAGCAUUUUUUCACAGUUUUCUGUCAUUUUAUGAACCUUUUUUGACCGUAUAAACAGAUCCAUUUCUUUAUGCUUAAUCUUUUGAUUAAUCUUUUGAUUAAUGCGAAAUGUUCAAUGUUCAAAUGUUUUCUUUGUGUUAUGUUGUCAAAAGAUCAGUUUAUGAUUGAUGAAACCUAAAGGUGUAUGAAUUAGUAUUUUACAGUAAUGCUUUUAGAGUUCAGUUUAUAUCAUUUUUUGAGUACUGAAUACUACUUUUAUUCAGAAUGAGAUUUCAGAAAGGCAGUUCGUCAGACAGAUCCAUUUCAUUCAUGUUUGGUGAAUUUAUGUUUGAUGUUUUUGAUUCAGUGUUAAAUGUUGAAUUUGAAUAUUUAAUAAAAUGUUUGUUUCAUGGUUUUUUAUUAAAGUUGAAAAAUCUGA